AGAACUUAUGCCGGCUGCAGCGACUCCAGGCUGGACAUAGUGCCUGACCCGUGCUGCUGCCUUAGUCCGCGUUACCAGCCUGUCUGACCUGGACUACUGCCCCACAUCUCAAGCUGUCUCCCAGCCUCCUGCCUUGCUCCUGAAAUCCAUCCUAUGGAUGCAUUUAAGACUACAUCUUUGAGGGCAAGGAUCCUCUCCACGGCUAUAUCUCCGCACUGCCUAGGCCGCCGCCUGGCACAC
This is a long non-coding RNA of Tupaia belangeri chinensis (Chinese tree shrew), 240 nucleotides long. RefSeq lists it as uncharacterized. NCBI's taxonomy places the organism in Eukaryota, Metazoa, Chordata, Mammalia, Scandentia, Tupaiidae. The transcript has 3 exons. The record is from RefSeq and is a predicted model, not a curated record.